GUCUGGUGGCGAGUGGCGAACGGGUGAGUAAUGUAUCGGAACGUGCCCAGUAGCGGGGGAUAACUACGCGAAAGCGUAGCUAAUACCGCAUACGCCCUACGGGGGAAAGCAGGGGAUCGCAAGACCUUGCACUAUUGGAGCGGCCGAUAUCGGAUUAGCUAGUUGGUGGGGUAACGGCUCACCAAGGCGACGAUCCGUAGCUGGUUUGAGAGGACGACCAGCCACACUGGGACUGAGACACGGCCCAGACUCCUACGGGAGGCAGCAGUGGGGAAUUUUGGACAAUGGGGGAAACCCUGAUCCAGCCAUCCCGCGUGUGCGAUGAAGGCCUUCGGGUUGUAAAGCACUUUUGGCAGGAAAGAAACGUCAUGGGUUAAUACCCCGUGAAACUGACGGUACCUGCAGAAUAAGCACCGGCUAACUACGUGCCAGCAGCCGCGGUAAUACGUAGGGUGCAAGCGUUAAUCGGAAUUACUGGGCGUAAAGCGUGCGCAGGCGGUUCGGAAAGAAAGAUGUGAAAUCCCAGAGCUUAACUUUGGAA
Molecule: ribosomal RNA, 541 nt
Filed under: Achromobacter xylosoxidans
Lineage: Bacteria; Pseudomonadati; Pseudomonadota; Betaproteobacteria; Burkholderiales; Alcaligenaceae
Description: bacterial SSU rRNA
Rfam family: Bacterial small subunit ribosomal RNA
Source: RNAcentral